GAGUUUGAUCGUGGCUCAGGAUGAACGCUGGCGGCGUGCUUAACACAUGCAAGUCGAACGAAGCACUCAGGAGCGAUUUCGGUCAAUCCUGUUUGACUGAGUGGCGGACGGGUGAGUAACGCGUGAGUAACCUACCUCGCAGUGGGGAAUAACAGUUGGAAACGACUGCUAAUACCGCAUAAUGCAGAGAGACCGCAUGAUCUUUCUGCCAAAGAUUUAUCGCUGUGAGAUGGACUCGCGUCUGAUUAGCUAGUUGGUGAGGUAACGGCUCACCAAGGCCGACGAUCAGUAGUCGGACUGAGAGGUUGACCGGCCACAUUGGGAACUGAGACAGGCCCAGACUCCUACGGAGGCAGCAGU
RNAcentral lists this ribosomal RNA (360 nucleotides) under bacterium enrichment culture clone ALO1_GLFRUDD03G79EF. RNAcentral describes it as "bacterial SSU rRNA". It matches the Rfam family "Bacterial small subunit ribosomal RNA", at positions 9 to 355 of the family's 1533-position model. The record is from RNAcentral.